This 227-nucleotide ribosomal RNA is filed under the name uncultured bacterium. RNAcentral's name for it is "partial 16S ribosomal RNA". It matches the Rfam family "Bacterial small subunit ribosomal RNA", at positions 15 to 235 of the family's 1533-position model. The record is from RNAcentral.
GAUCAUGCUCAGGAUGAACGCUAGCGACAGGCCUAACACAUGCAAGUCGAGGGGCAACAUGGUAUCAGCUUGCUGAUACCGAUGGCGACCGGCGCACGGGUGAGUAACGCGUAUGUAAUCUACCUGUAACAGAGGGAUAACCCGGAGAAAUCCGGACUAAUACCUCAUAGCACAUAUUAUUCGCAUGAAUUUUAUGUUAAAGAGACUCGGUUACAGAUGAACAUGCG